AUACGCUUGUGAUCAAGGGCCUGGUCUCCCCUCAAGACACGGUCACAGAUCAGAGGCCACACCAUCCUAGCAGUGGAGCAGGACCAGCUGGGACAGGGUCCUUCUGUGACACCUGCUGCAUCACCAGGCUGGGUGAACGGACACAAUUGCCAGAACUCACAGAAUAGAAGUAUCAGCACCGAAACCUCACAGGAAAAAUGAAGACAUUUUCUUUCUCUUCUGAGUAACUGAAAUAAAAUCUGGCCUCUGUGAAACCCUGGAAAUACCACGACCCUCAACUAGAAACACCAAUACCAGCUCCUCCGCGAGUUUCCAGCUCCACAACCUAAGACAUCAGAGGCAGCAUUGGUUCCUCACGUAGAGUCCAGCUCCGGGACCCUCAUAUUUGAACCGCAGGGCCAUCUCAUCCCUGGAUCUCCAGCUGCACCACACUCAAAUUAGAACAACAUCAGUUCCUCCCCAGGUCUCCACCUGCACAGCCCUCGAAAGGGAAUGUCAGCUCCUCCCCGGGUCUCCAGCUGUAGGGCCCUAAAACUAGAACAUCAGCUUCUCCCCAAGUCUUCAGCUGCGUGACCCUCAAUCUAGAACAUCAGUUCCUCUACAGGUCUGCAGCUGCAAGACCCUCAAUCU
Molecule: long non-coding RNA, 630 nt
Organism: Homo sapiens (human)
Lineage: Eukaryota; Metazoa; Chordata; Mammalia; Primates; Hominidae
Exons: 3
Source: RefSeq, marked validated